CAGAGCCUCAAUGAUUACUUGGAGGACAAUAGAUAUAUUGAGAACAAUAUCACAAAAGAAGAUCAAUAGCUACUGAGAACAAUAUCGCAAGCUCAUAUUGUGUACUUGAAGCAAUCCUCAGCUCACCACCUGCUAAUCAUGCUCUGUGUUGAUAUAAUCACAGCGUUAAGAAAGGAAAAGAGCCAGCUUGCCUGGAAUGAAGAAGGCUUUAAGAGAGCAUGGCCUGGUUAAUGUGGAAGACACCAAAGGAAAAGGAGCCACAUAUAGUAAAGAGGACAGUGACAUUGCUCUCUGGAUCAGACGACAAGGAGAAAUGUGAUGAAGGAAGAGGCUGAUAAAAUAAUGCUUUAGGCAAGAUAGGUCAAGGAAGGCCAAAAAUCCUGGACUUGUUGCCAAGUCUUCUAGAUGUGAAACCUUGGGAUGACAGAGUUAAGGGAACAAGAUUACAGGAAUAUGUCAGGGGACUCAGGCAGACGGCUUGGUCUGAAGCACUUCCAAACUAGUUUUGAUAGGAUAUGCUAUCAAGAGGCUCCAGAAACAGGGUGGAGUUGGAGAUGAUAAAUUUGGUACAAUGUGCUAGAGGAACAGAUAACUUCUUUUGAGGACUGUGUUUAGUCAACAGACAAGACCUCUUUCAAUGGGGUC
RNAcentral lists this long non-coding RNA (645 nucleotides) under Homo sapiens (human). RNAcentral's name for it is "non-protein coding lnc-ENPEP-2:1". Lineage: Eukaryota; Metazoa; Chordata; Mammalia; Primates; Hominidae. The record is from RNAcentral.